Molecule: ribosomal RNA, 468 nt
Filed under: uncultured bacterium
Lineage: Bacteria
Description: bacterial SSU rRNA
Rfam family: Bacterial small subunit ribosomal RNA
Source: RNAcentral
GGACCCGCACAAGCAGCGGAGCAUGUGGUUUAAUUCGAAGCAACGCGAAGAACCUUACCAAGACUUGACAUCGUAUGACCGCCGUAGAGAUAUGGAAUUCUGUAGAAAUACAGACAUAUAGACAGGUGGUGCAUGGUUGUCGUCAGCUCGUGUCGUGAGAUGUUGGGUUAAGUCCCGCAACGAGCGCAACCCUUAUAUCCGGUUGCCAAUAUUAAGUUAGGAACUCCGGAUAGACUGCCGUGGAUAACACGGAGGAAGGUGGGGAUGACGUCAAAUCAUCAUGCCCCUUACGUCUUGGGCUACACACGUGCUACAAUGGCUAUUACAAAGAGCAGCAAAACAGCAAUGUCAAGCGAAUCUCAAAAAGAUAGUCUCAGUUCGGAUUGUGGGCUGCAACCCGCCCACAUGAAGAUGGAGUUGCUAGUAAUCCCGAAUCAGAAUGUCGGGGUGAAUGCGUUCCCGGGUCUU